RNAcentral lists this ribosomal RNA (556 nucleotides) under Malassezia furfur. Its description in RNAcentral is "LSU rRNA". It matches the Rfam family "Eukaryotic large subunit ribosomal RNA", at positions 59 to 620 of the family's 3401-position model. Lineage: Eukaryota; Fungi; Basidiomycota; Malasseziomycetes; Malasseziales; Malasseziaceae. The record is from RNAcentral.
AAGAAACUAACAAGGAUUCCCCUAGUAACGGCGAGUGAAGAGGGAAGAGCUCAAAUUUGAAAGCUGGUACCUUCGGUAUCCGCGUUGUAACCUCGAGACACGUUUUCCGUGCGGCGCUAUGGACAAGUUCCUUGGAACAGGACAUCGUAGAGGGUGAAAAUCCCGUACUUGCCAUGGAUGUACCGUGCUUUGCGAUACGUGCUCUAAGAGUCGAGUUGUUUGGGAUUGCAGCUCAAAAUGGGUGGUAGACUCCAUCUAAAGCUAAAUAUCGGGGAGAGACCGAUAGCGAACAAGUACCGUGAGGGAAAGAUGAAAAGCACUUUGGAAAGAGAGUUAAAAGUACGUGAAAUUGUCGAAAGGGAAGCGCUUGAAGUCAGCCAUGCCGCUCAGGACUCAGCCUGGCUUUUGCUUGGUGUAUUUCCUGGGUAGCAAGUCAGCAUUGGUUUGGAUCGUCGGAGAAGCAUAGUCGGAAUGUGGCGCCCUCGGGCGUGUUAUAGCCUUCUAUUGGAUACGACGAUCUAGACCAAGGAACGCAGCGCGCCUUAUGGCGGGUCUU